UGCGGAGCAGAGCAGAUGGUCGCUCGCUUGUCGACGAGAUGAGAGGACGUAAAAAACGGUUCGAUUCCUACCUCCGCAG
Molecule: transfer RNA, 79 nt
Filed under: Prevotella sp.
Lineage: Bacteria; Pseudomonadati; Bacteroidota; Bacteroidia; Bacteroidales; Prevotellaceae
Also listed under: 1 other name
Description: tRNA-Arg
Source: RNAcentral